Molecule: long non-coding RNA, 1359 nt
Organism: Tyto alba (common barn owl)
Lineage: Eukaryota; Metazoa; Chordata; Aves; Strigiformes; Tytonidae
Exons: 3
Source: RefSeq, a predicted model, not a curated record
CAGCUUCAUCUUAGAGAAACAAAGUGAGAAAAAAGGAAGAAAAGUCCAGCGCAGCCCGGUUUUACGCACUGCUAAGAUCCGUGGGUCUUCCAGCACGUGGGCCUGGGCACCACCACAGCUCUGGCCGUCGUAGAAGGAGGGAUCCAUCCAGCGCAGAAUAAAAGGAUGAAAGGUGUGAGGAAAACAUUAGCACCACAUACAAGAGAUGAGUGCCAUAUUAAAUAAAAUAACCUUUUUGGUGUCUGAACUCUGGUACCAGAGUGCCUUCAUGAUCUAGGGAUGUAACAUCAUUACUGUGCUGUAAACAGGAUCGAGGCGAAUGUCCUCCCUCUAUCCAGGGCAGGUUGUCAUGCAGGAACCAAGGGAAGGUAUGCUCUGUCCCCUGUACGAUCACCCUGCAGAGAUCCCAGAUGGGCGCAGUGUCAGCUGAAGUCACUCUCUGCUCUGUAACCUCUUUCUGAAGACUGGAGGAUACUGGCUCAAAAGCCAGGAGCCUUCUGUGAAACUGCUUGGGAGUCUGGGGGUGGCUGGGAGAGAAGAGUGGCUUUUCUUCAGACCUUAAAGUAAUAAAAGUUUUCUAUCUUUCUCUAGAAUUACACUUACUGUUUAAACAUUUACAAUUCUGCAGUGCACAUACCUCUGACGUCUUACAAACACAUGGAAAUACUGUAGUCUGUGUUUUCUAUAAGCUUUCAGAAAAUUGACUGUUUCAAGUCCUUACUGCUGGAAUAAUAUAACAGUAGUGCUGCAAAAGUGGGAAGGUAAGCUGCCCAGCAGAAGAUACAGUAGCCAAAACUCUUAUCUCAAGACCCAUUGCUUGGAGAUUUGCAUCAACUUCCCUUAGUCAAUAAUGAGUCUUAUUUAUAAAUUCACAUACAAUACAGAAAGGAAGAAGCUUGUUGCACUAUUGUGGAGAUCAAAGUUUCAAUGUUUUUUUCUCCUUCUCCUGUUUAGAGAACUGAAGUUGGUUUGCAUGUCUCUGUAUCCCUCUCCUUAUUGCUGAGACCAGCAUGGUUGAUAGCCUUGGGCAUUUUUUUAAAGCUGUUUCUAAAAAUAAACAUUUUGCAAAAAUUCCCAGAAUGCAGGUGCUCAACUUAAUUUAGCCAGAGCCGUACUAUUUGUUAGCAGGCUGUUCCUUUAUAGGGAGUUUUAAGUUCCAAUUCAAUGUAUCAUAAAUUAAUACAUAAUGAAAAACCUCUUCUAUGGUCAAGGGUGGAAUCCCUGCCUUACUGAGGCCUGUACAAACAAAACCUCUAUUGAUUUAGUUCAAUAAAAUUACCCCAAAUCUCCUGCUUCUUUUUAAAGAACCAUUCUAUCAUUGAAAAAAUAUUAAUAAAAUUACAUAUGCUAAUCAAAACA